GAUGAACGCUAGCGGCAGGCCUAACACAUGCGAGUCGAGGGAGAAGCCCUUUCGGGGGCAGAAACCGGCGCACGGGUGCGUAACGCGUAUGCAACCUACCUUUCACAGGGGGAUAGCCCGAAGAAAUUUGGAUUAAUACCCCAUAAUAUUAUUGGAUGGCAUCAUUUGAUAAUUAAAACUGCGGUGGUGAAAGAUGGGCAUGCGUCCUAUUAGCUAGUUGGAGUGGUAACGGCACCCCAAGGCUACGAUAGGUAGGGGUCCUGAGAGGGAGAUCCCCCACACUGGUACUGAGACAGGGACCAGACUCCUACGGGAGGCAGCAGUGAGGAAUAUUGGUCAAUGGUCGGAAGACUGAACCAGCCAUGCCGCGUGCAGGAAGAAUGCCUUAUGGGUUGUAAACUGCUUUUAUAUGGGAAGAAUAAGGUGUACGUGUACAUUGAUGACGGUACCAUAUGAAUAAGCAUCGGCUAACUCCGUG
RNAcentral lists this ribosomal RNA (478 nucleotides) under uncultured bacterium. Its description in RNAcentral is "partial 16S ribosomal RNA". It matches the Rfam family "Bacterial small subunit ribosomal RNA", at positions 28 to 507 of the family's 1533-position model. The record is from RNAcentral.